This 88-nucleotide transfer RNA is filed under the name Faecalibacterium sp. CAG:1138. It matches the Rfam family "tRNA". From Rfam's summary of the family: Transfer RNA (tRNA) molecules are approximately 80 nucleotides in length. Their secondary structure includes four short double-helical elements and three loops (D, anti-codon, and T loops). Lineage: Bacteria; Bacillati; Bacillota; Clostridia; Eubacteriales; Oscillospiraceae. The record is from Rfam by way of RNAcentral.
GGAGAUGUAUCGAAGUGGUCAUAACGGGACUGAUUCGAAAUCAGUUGACGGGGUUACCCGUCCGUGGGUUCGAAUCCCACCGUCUCCG